GGAAAGAUUUAUCGGUGCAGGAUGGGCCCGCGGCCUAUCAGCUUGUUGGUGGGGUAAUGGCCUACCAAGGCGACGACGGGUAGCCGACCUGAGAGGGUGACCGGCCACACUGGGACUGAGACACGGCCCAGACUCCUACGGGAGGCAGCAGUGGGGAAUAUUGCACAAUGGGCGAAAGCCUGAUGCAGCGACGCCGCGUGAGGGAUGAAGGCCUUCGGGUUGUAAACCUCUUUCAGCAGGGACGAAGCGCAAGUGACGGUACCUGCAGAAGAAGCACCGGCUAACUACGUGCCAGCAGCCGCGGUAAUACGUAGGGUGCGAGCGUUGUCCGGAAUUACUGGGCGUAAAGAGUUCGUAGGCGGUUUGUCGCGUCGUUUGUGAAAACCCGGGGCUCAACUUCGGGCU
This 405-nucleotide ribosomal RNA is filed under the name Rhodococcoides kyotonense. RNAcentral describes it as "bacterial SSU rRNA". It matches the Rfam family "Bacterial small subunit ribosomal RNA", at positions 201 to 621 of the family's 1533-position model. Lineage: Bacteria; Bacillati; Actinomycetota; Actinomycetes; Mycobacteriales; Nocardiaceae. The record is from RNAcentral.